CACAAGAGAGACAAGGUCACUGGAGGAUAAACAUCCGUGACUGCGCCUCAUGAUCCAUCAUGCACGGCGGCCGCAGCGUCCCCUGCCAGCUGCCGGCACAGACAAGAGCACGGGAUGGACGACCGCGGUAGCAACGUGGGGCUCAUCUGCCUCUCUCUGAGCAGGAAGCCCCUCAGGCUCACACGGGGAGCCACCAGGCUGGACUGGGUGCAGCUUACAGACGUGGCACGUGCUGUGGGCGUCGGGCCGCGGCUCCUCCAUGCAGUACUUACACUGCUGUCUGCAGAUCGCACCCAAUCAGAAGGGAAUGGUCCAGACAGGUGGCCAGGGCCACGGCUUGGCCAGGGUGGUCCUGCGGGCAGUACUGAGCCCGCCCUGCUGGGCACCCCACAGCCCCUGUGGCUCUCCAGCUGCCACUGAGGCCGGACGCCCCAUGAGGAGGCUCCCAUCUGUGGGUGGCAGAAUGACGGCCCUGAAGACCCCCGCUUCCUCACCCGAAGACCCCCCGCUUCCUCACCCGAAGACCCCCCGCUUCCUCACCCAAAGACCCCCCGCUUCCUUACCCAAAGACCCCGGCUUCCUCACCCUGGGACCUGUGAGUUCACACAGCAGCGGGGACCUGCGACUGUGGACGGCGCAUCAGCUCCCUCAACAGGGAGGCUGCCCUGGGUGACCCGUGAGGGCACAGGGUACCUCCGUCCUGCUGAGUGGAAGAGGGAGGCCGUGGCGGAGGCGGGCGUGAGGGGGACUGGCCCGCCACUGCUGGCUUCGUGAGGGGCCCCCAGCCAAGGAGAAGCCUCCCGAAGCCGGAAGAGGCGGAAAAUGGAUUCUCCCAGGAGCCUCUAGAAGGAACCUUGGUGUUGGUGGAAUGGGAUGUGAGAGGACACGCGGGUGACCUGUCUUGGGUCAUGCCAGUUCCCGGUCCCCGCACCAGCCCGCCCUGGGCGGGAAGCCUAAGAGGAAUGGAGGGGCCAUCGCGGGGCUCUCCCGGAAACUGGCCCCGGGUGCCUCGGUCCCUGCAUCAGUGCAGGGUUUCAGUGGCCGCCCUGCUGGCUCCGGGCGCUCCCUCCGUCUUCCUGCCACGUGGCUGGUCCUUCCUGGGCUGGGCUGAGUCACCCUCCAUGCCCACCCGUCAUACCCGGCAAGAGCUGGGGGCAUGAAGCCAGGCCCAGGUGGGCUGUGGCGGCAUCCAGGUGGAAGGACGUGGAGGACUCGGAGGUGGAGGGGUCUCCAGGGCAGGGCAGGGCAGGGCCGGUUGCCGGGGGCCAUCUGCUGUGUCCAGGUGCCCGGCGCUGCCACUGGCCUUGCCCCAAGGCCCAGCUCUGCCCUUCAUCCCCUCAGCACCUCCCCGUACCUUCCUUCCAUGAGUCUUAAGCUGUGGCAAGUCCUUAAGCUGGGACGGCCAGCGCCAGCCCUGCCCCCAACAGGUCACUCGGCGGCUCGGAGCCCAUGUCCUCCUCGGUGACACAGGAAAAUGGUGCAGUUGUGCAAGGGCAUGAGAGGGUCCCAUGGAAGGCACGUUCCGGAAGGUUCCAUCCCAUGGAAGCCACGUUCCGGAAGUUUCCAUGCUGUGGAAGGCAUGUUCCGGAAGUUUCCGUCCCGUGGAAGGCACGUUCUGGAAGGUUCUGUCCGGUGGAAGGUCACUCUGUGCGGUGUGCACUGACCCCAGCCAGUGGAUGUUCCCCGUCCAAGAGCAAAGCUACAGUAGGCUGCAGGUGCAGCGUCUUUUGCACAGUGGAAGAAUUUCUCCAGAAGAUAUUCCUGCAGGUGGAAUCACUGGAUCGUAGGCCCAGAUGUCUUCCACUUACUUGAUUUUGCCUGAUGCCUUCCAAGGAGGCUGUGCACAGCAGGUGUGAGAUGCCCCAUCUCACCAACCGGCCAACAUCCCAAUGGGAGAUGUUGAGUUUUCACCACGGUGCUGAGUGUGACGUGGAAUCUUCUUAUUUUAGCUUGCAUUUCCCUGAUUACAAGUUAGGUGGAACAUCUCGAAUAUGUUUCUGGGCCAUUUGAUUUUCCUGCAAGACACCUGUUCCAGUUCUUUGCCCAUUUCCUGUUGGGCUGGUCAAUAUUUUUUGCGAUUAUACGUUGGAUACGUGGCUGGCCUUUGGCUUGCCUUUGACUUCAUUUGUUCUAUCGAAGCAUGUGCAGAAUUGUUAAAUUUUAAUGUAUUCAAAUGCAUUAAUCUCAUUUCUU
Molecule: long non-coding RNA, 2193 nt
Filed under: Pan troglodytes (chimpanzee)
Lineage: Eukaryota; Metazoa; Chordata; Mammalia; Primates; Hominidae
Description: lincRNA
Source: RNAcentral